Molecule: ribosomal RNA, 446 nt
Filed under: uncultured bacterium
Lineage: Bacteria
Description: bacterial SSU rRNA
Rfam family: Bacterial small subunit ribosomal RNA
Source: RNAcentral
AUUGAACGCUGGCGGCAUGCUUUACACAUGCAAGUCGAACGGCAGCACGGGCUUCGGCCUGGUGGCGAGUGGCGAACGGGUGAGUAAUGCAUCGGAACGUGCCCAUGUUGUGGGGGAUAACUACGCGAAAGCGUGGCUAAUACCGCAUACGCCCUGAGGGGGAAAGCGGGGGAUUCUUCGGAACCUCGCGCAAUUGGAGCGGCCGAUGUCAGAUUAGCUUGUUGGUGAGGUAAAGGCUCACCAAGGCGACGAUCUGUAGCGGGUCUGAGAGGAUGAUCCGCCACACUGGGACUGAGACACGGCCCAGACUCCUACGGGAGGCAGCAGUGGGGAAUUUUGGACAAUGGGGGCAACCCUGAUCCAGCCAUGCCGCGUGAGUGAAGAAGGCCUCGGUUGUAAGACUCUUUCUAGCCGGGAAGAAACGACACGCUCUACACUAGACGUGU